Notothenia coriiceps (black rockcod) is the source of this 149-nucleotide long non-coding RNA. RefSeq lists it as uncharacterized. The record is from RefSeq and is a predicted model, not a curated record. The transcript is spliced from 3 exons. Lineage: Eukaryota; Metazoa; Chordata; Actinopteri; Perciformes; Nototheniidae.
AGGCUACUCUAUCGCUGUUGGGGAAUUCAGCGGUGAUCAGGUGGAAGAUUUCGUGGCCGGCGUUCCAAAAGGACUCAAGCUUUAUGGAUUGGUGUCGAUUCUGAACGGUACCGAUCUGAAGACCAUCAUGAACUUCACAGGCGAACAGG